This 460-nucleotide ribosomal RNA is filed under the name uncultured bacterium. Its description in RNAcentral is "partial 16S ribosomal RNA". It matches the Rfam family "Bacterial small subunit ribosomal RNA", at positions 338 to 795 of the family's 1533-position model. The record is from RNAcentral.
CCUACGGGAGGCAGCAGUGAGGAAUAUUGGUCAAUGGACGAGAGUCUGAACCAGCCAAGUAGCGUGAAGGAUGACUGCCCUAUGGGUUGUAAACUUCUUUUAUAUGGGAAUAAAAUGUUCCACGUGUGGGAUUUUGUAUGUACCAUAUGAAUAAGGAUCGGCUAACUCCGUGCCAGCAGCCGCGGUAUUACGGAGGAUCCGAGCGUUAUCCGGAUUUAUUGGGGUUAAAGGGAGCGUAGGUGGAUUGUUAAGUCAGUUGUGAAAGUUUGCGGCUCAACCGUAAAAUUGCAGUUGAAACUGGCAGUCUUGAGUACAGUAGAGGUGGGCGGAAUUCGUGGUGUAGCGGUGAAAUGCUUAGAUAUCACGAAGAACUCCGAUUGCGAAGGCAGUUCACUGGACUGCAACUGACACUGAGGCUCGAAAGUGUGGGUAUCAAACAGGAUUAGAUACCCGUGUAGUC